This 507-nucleotide ribosomal RNA is filed under the name uncultured fungus. RNAcentral describes it as "SSU rRNA". It matches the Rfam family "Eukaryotic small subunit ribosomal RNA", at positions 569 to 1078 of the family's 1831-position model. The record is from RNAcentral. Lineage: Eukaryota; Fungi.
AGCAGCCACGGUAAUUCCAGCUCCAAUAGCGUAUAUUAAAGUUGCUGCAGUUAAAAAGCUCGUAGUUGAAUUUCGGGACCAUCAUGUCGGUCGUGCCUCGGUACGAACUGGUAUUGUUGGUUUCUCCCUUCUGACGAACCAUGAUGUCAUUUAUUUGGUGUUGUGGGGAAUCAGGACUGUUACUUUGAAAAAAUUAGAGUGUUUAAAGCAGGCUCACGCUUGAAUACAUUAGCAUGGAAUAAUGAAAUAGGACGUUUGAUUCUAUUUUGUUGGUUUCUAGGAUCGACGUAAUGAUUAAUAGGGAUAGUUGGGGGCAUUAGUAUUCAAUUGUCAGAGGUGAAAUUCUUGGAUUUAUUGAAGACUAACUACUGCGAAAGCAUUUGCCAAGGAUGUUUUCAUUAAUCAAGAACGAAAGUUAGGGGAUCGAAGACGAUCAGAUACCGUCGUAGUCUUAACCAUAAACUAUGCCGACUAGGGAUCGGAUGAUGUUAAUUUUUUAAUGACUCA